GAAAAACAUCACCUACAUCACAAACGCGGAAGUCCGGGACGCAAUACUGAACCUGACUUUGACGGCUCUGGCUCCCAAAUUCCCUCUCUUCCAAACCAGUGACUAUGAGCUGUGGUUCCAAAUUAAUCUCGUGGUCCUGCUGGCCAGCUUCAGUCCUUCAGUUUUGGUGGUGAUCCCCGCCAACCUCACCUGCGACUCUUACGACGCAAUAUUGAAAGGCAUGGAGAACGCUUUGGCGGUUCUCCCAACUGGAGUUGGAGUGGAGCUGAAGUCAAGCAAAGACAAACUUCGACAGUCACCACCAGAAGGCUGCACGCCCCCUCGCCCUGUGGGUUUCGUAAGUACUUCAUUGUCGUACAUGGGUUAUGGGUAAAGUUCAAGCCCAUUAGAAGCUGUACAUAAUGGUUUUCUUAUAUUUUCUUGCUUUGUCUUCCUUCUCGCCAGUGCAAAGAGACAAUAGUGAAUG
Long non-coding RNA from Cyprinus carpio carpio, 466 nucleotides. NCBI's taxonomy places the organism in Eukaryota, Metazoa, Chordata, Actinopteri, Cypriniformes, Cyprinidae. The record is from Ensembl.